RNAcentral lists this ribosomal RNA (463 nucleotides) under uncultured bacterium. RNAcentral describes it as "bacterial SSU rRNA". It matches the Rfam family "Bacterial small subunit ribosomal RNA", at positions 330 to 792 of the family's 1533-position model. The record is from RNAcentral.
GCCAGACUCCUACGGGAGGCAGCAGUGAGGAAUAUUGGUCAAUGGGCGAGAGCCUGAACCAGCCAAGUCGCGUGAGGGAGUACUGCCCUAUGGGUUGUAAACCUCUUUUGUCGGGGAGCAAAAGCCGGACUUGUCCGGCUGUGAGAGUACCCGAAGAAAAAGCAUCGGCUAACUCCGUGCCAGCAGCCGCGGUAAUACGGAGGAUGCGAGCGUUAUCCGGAUUUAUUGGGUUUAAAGGGUGCGCAGGCGGAUUUUUAAGUCAGCGGUCAAAUCGUGGGGCUCAACCCCAUCCAGCCGUUGAAACUGGGGAUCUAGAGUGUGCGAGAGGUAUGCGGAAUGCGUGGUGUAGCGGUGAAAUGCAUAGAUAUCACGCAGAACCCCGAUUGCGAAGGCAGCGUACCGGCUCCACACUGACGCUGAGGCACGAAAGCGUGGGUAUCGAACAGGAUUAGAUACCCGAGUA